Molecule: long non-coding RNA, 1199 nt
Filed under: Phasianus colchicus (ring-necked pheasant)
Lineage: Eukaryota; Metazoa; Chordata; Aves; Galliformes; Phasianidae
Description: lncRNA (ENSPCLG00000016367.1)
Source: RNAcentral
UCCUUUCUUUGUGUAUGUGAUAGUACAUUAUAUGCAUACAUGAACAAAUUCCUUCCCCUACAGAUCAGAAAAUUAAGCCCUUUAAGGCUUCAUCAGCUCAGAGGGAGAUGUAACAGUUGUCUUUGUAGGUGACUUCCGUUCACACUUUGUAUCUAGCCUAGCUGUUUAUUGACUAAAAGUCCCUUGUUUCCAAGGAGGUUAGUACAUGCAUAACCAUGGCUGAUUAUGUCAAGUAGUGCACAUAGAUUUUCAGAUUACUCUUCAUUUCAAAUAGAACCUAUAAGUUGCUGUAAUGUUUAUACUAGUAAGACCCUUCAGAGGGAUCUAGAUAAGCUGGAUUGCUGGGCUGAGGUGAAUGGGAUGAGGUUCAACAAGGCCAAGUGCCGGGUCCUGCACUUUGGCCACAACAACCCCAUGCAGCACUAUAGGCUUGGGAACGAAUGGCUGGAUGAUUGUGAGGAGGAAAGGGACCUGGGGGUGUUGGUUGAUGCUUGGCUGAACAUGAACCCACAGUGUGCCCAGGUGGCCAAGAGGGCCAAUGGCACCCUGGCCUGCAUUAGAAAUAGUGUGGCCAGCAGGAGCAGGGAGGUGAUCAUCCCCCUGUACUCAGCACUGGUGAGGCCUCACCUCGAGUACUGUGUUCAGUUUUGGGCCCCUCACUACAGGAAAGACAUUGAGGCCCUGGAGUGUGUCCAGAGAAGGGCAACAAAACUGGUGAGGGGUCUGGAGCACAAGUCUUAUGAGGAGCAGCUGAGGGAGCUGGGAUUGUUUCCUCUGGAGAAGAGGAGGCUCAGGGGAGACCUCAUUGCACUCUACAACUUCCUGAAGGGAGGUUGUGGUGAAGAGGGGUUUGGCCUCUUCUCCCAGGCAAUGAACAGGACCCGGGGAAAUGGCUGCAAGCUGUACCAGAGGAGGUUUAGGUUAGACUUAAGGAAGAACUUUUUCUCUCAGAGGGUGGUCAGGCACUGGAAUGGCCUGCCCAGGGAGGUGGUAGUCACCAUCCUUGGCAGUGUUCAAGAGGUGUCCAGAUGAGGAGCUACGAGAUAUGGUUUAGUUUGUGGUAGCAGUGGUAAUGAGAAGACGGUUGGACUGGAUGAUCUUAUAGGUAAUUUCCAACCUUGUGAUUCUAUGAUUCUACGAUUCUAAGACUGCAGGGGCUUCUAGUAGAAGAUGUUAGGUCCAAUGAAGGGGGAUGCUCA